RNAcentral lists this unclassified non-coding RNA (409 nucleotides) under uncultured fungus. Its description in RNAcentral is "partial contains 5.8S ribosomal RNA, internal transcribed spacer 2, and large subunit ribosomal RNA". The record is from RNAcentral. Lineage: Eukaryota; Fungi.
AACGCAUACUGCGCUCCUGGGUGACUAGGAGCAUGUCUGCCUGAGUGUCAUUUAUACAACUUCACUAAAGAAGAACUUAAAACAUUCUUCUUUGUGGAUAUGCUAGUCUCUGCGACAACAAGUCAUAGAGUCUAGUGAAAUGCAUUGGAAGAUGACCUUUUUUUCUUUUGAACAGAAAGAAAAGAAAAGACUCAGCAAAAAGAAAGGGAAUUAUUUGUUCCUUCCUUUUUCUCUUUUUUCUUCUUUGCCUGUUUCUCAUCCUUGUAAUGAGGUAGAAUUUAUACAACAUUACAACCAAAGGGUAAGGGACUUUAGUGUAUCGAAGUAUCAUGAAAAGGAUCAAGGCAAGUGGGCAACCUUUUUUUCAAUAUUUGACCUCAGGUCAGGCAAGACUACCCGCUGAACUUAA